RNAcentral lists this ribosomal RNA (120 nucleotides) under uncultured bacterium. Its description in RNAcentral is "partial 16S ribosomal RNA". It matches the Rfam family "Bacterial small subunit ribosomal RNA", at positions 28 to 148 of the family's 1533-position model. The record is from RNAcentral.
GACGAACGCUGGCGGCGUGCUUAACACAUGCAAGUCGAACGGUAAGGCCCCUUCGGGGGUACACGAGUGGCGAACGGGUGAGUAACACGUGAGCAACCUGCCCUUGACUCUGGGAUAACA